GCAGCAAAGUGUCAGGAAAGGACCAGUGAAAGAGGGUCCCUGAGACAUGGCUAGAGAGGCCUACAGAGGCCUCACAGCAGUUCAAGCAGCCAAUCAGCACCCAGCAGGGUCAGAAAAAAGGAGCUGCAGGGCCUGAGAGAUCAAUCCCUGGUUGAGACUGGAGGGGCAGAGGAGGGUGCUCCUCUCUGGCCAAAGGAGCUUAAGGGAUAACCCAAGUUUGGUUCUGGCUGCAUUUGCUGGGUUUGCAGGCAGAGACAGGACCUAAGAAAUCUAACCUUAAGGUAAAGGGUGGAGCAAAAAGGGGCCAAGUAGGAAGUGGCCCAGGGAGAAAGCAGCAAUGAGCUGAAAUCAAGCCGUGUGUAGCAACUGUUUAUAGGGUCCCUGGGUUGGAACCCAGCAUAGAGGUGGGCCUGGGUUCCCCUACCAGUCACAGUGGCAUAAACCUCAAGAGUGAGGGGGGACAGGGCUUAUUUGAGAGUCCAAGCAAAGGACUGAAUUUAAAGGGCCUAAAGCUGGGGCUGAAGACCCUAGUGAGGGCAAGAGAACUGAUAAUUUAUUGGACUCUAUUACCCUGGAAUGCAUUCAUUUGGACUUUGUGACUUGGCUGGAGGGCCAAGCCACUGAAGACCUACCAGUGUCAGCUGGCAGCCUGCAGGGCACACCAGGAGUAUGAAAAAACCCUGCAAUACUACACCUAGCCACCAAAAGGCACUUAGAGAUAUAACAGUAGAAGUGGAUCUUGAGGAAAAUUUGAAGGACACAACAACAGUAUUCCAUAUAGUUUGGAAGAACGUGUGAAGGCAGUUGUGGAAGAAGAGGACAAACAGGCACUCAAGGCAAAGCCGAAUGACAGUGUUUAUUUUAUCACAUAAAAACAAGAUGCAGCUUCCCAUGUGCACUUUUUGAGGGGAGAGAAAGCCCUGCUAAAAGAGGUCUUCAGCAAAGGAAUGUGCCUUAAUUUGCAUUUAUGCAGUAAACAAGAUCAUCAAGCAGGAAGGGAAACAAAGGAAACUCAAACAGGUGAAGAAAAAAAGCAAGGAACAUCCUUCCACACAGAUUCAUUGUCUCUUGGUUCUCUGUUGGAAAUGUUUGGAAUGGGACUGGAACUAUAAAAAGCAGAGGCAAACACCUCAAGAUACUCCUCUCUCUCUCCCUACCCACCUCAUUUUCCAUACCCUGAAAAGACAAAAGGAAACAGGUGUUGAACUCUGGUGCAGGGAUCCCAAUCUGAAAGUCAGUAAUCUGCUAGAG
Molecule: long non-coding RNA, 1251 nt
Organism: Mauremys reevesii (Reeves's turtle)
Lineage: Eukaryota; Metazoa; Chordata; Testudines; Geoemydidae
Exons: 4
Source: RefSeq, a predicted model, not a curated record